AUGGCCGACAGCACUCACUGAAACAGCCAAGGUGGAAAUACAAUGGAGACAUAGGUGUUGAACAGCAUAUUUGAGCCUGAAUCAGAGGAAGAAUUUGAAAUAGACGAGCAACCAGUUGCCCAUAGAUUGGAAAUGACUACUUCAGAGUGGUUAUUAAAAGAAUGACCCAGGUUCCUGAGGAGCUGACCUGAAUGACCAUCAUGGCCUCGAUCCGUUGUGCCUCUAUAUUCUUUGCAAAAUGCAAUGAAUAUUUACAGAGCUGACCCUGGCCGUUUGAGAAUCAGAGGAAUGGAAAGGCAAUGAAGUGACUUGGCCUACAGGUCUUUUGUGAGCAGGAGUUGGGGUUUCCUUAGAAGAAGCUGCG
This is a long non-coding RNA of Alosa alosa (allis shad), 364 nucleotides long. RefSeq lists it as uncharacterized. The record is from RefSeq and is a predicted model, not a curated record. Lineage: Eukaryota; Metazoa; Chordata; Actinopteri; Clupeiformes; Clupeidae. The transcript is spliced from 3 exons.